AAUGUUUGACGCCGUUGGCUUAUUUAAACAUGUUUGACCGUUCGUCUUAUUCAAAAAAUUUAAGCAAUUAUUAAUUCUUUUUCUACCAUUUGAUUCAUCGUUAAAUAUACUUUUAUGAUACAUAUAGUUUUAUAUAUUUCACAAAAGUUUUUGAAUAAGACGAAUGGUCAAACAUGUUUAAUAAAGUUAACGGCGUCAAUCAUU
RNAcentral lists this microRNA precursor (204 nucleotides) under Oryza glumipatula. RNAcentral's name for it is "MIR812 microRNA precursor family". It matches the Rfam family "MIR812 microRNA precursor family". The record is from Rfam by way of RNAcentral. Lineage: Eukaryota; Viridiplantae; Streptophyta; Magnoliopsida; Poales; Poaceae.